This 525-nucleotide long non-coding RNA is filed under the name Physcomitrium patens. RNAcentral's name for it is "long non-coding RNA (PPAT_LNC011361)". Lineage: Eukaryota; Viridiplantae; Streptophyta; Bryopsida; Funariales; Funariaceae. The record is from RNAcentral.
ACAAAUAUAUCUCAAAUACAUCUCAAUUCAAUCUUAAUUUAAUCCUAGUUAAAAUCUUAUUGGACUUCAUUCAAAAUUUAGGCCAAAAACUAACUAAAUCUUAAAUCCUAAAUAAACCCAAAUAAAACCCUAAAUCCUAAAUCAAAUCCUAACCAAUCCUAAACAAAAUCCUAAAUCCUAAACCAAAUCCUCACCAAAUCCUAAUUCUAAAUAAAUCCUAAUCAAAUCCUAAAUCCUAAACCAAAUCCUAACCAAUUCCUAAUUCUAAAUAAAUUCUAAUCAAAUCUUAAAUCCUAAACCAAAUCCUAACCAAAUUCUAACCCUAAAUUAAAUCCUAACCAAACUCUAAAUCCUAAACCAAAUCCUAAUCCUAAAUCAAAUCCUAAUCAAAUUCUAACCCUAAAUCAAAUCCUAACUAAAUCCUAAACCAAACCCUAAAUCCUAAACCAAAUCCUAACCAAAUCCUAAUCCUAACCAAACUCUAAACCCUAAAUCAAAUCCUAAUCAAAUCCUAAUCCUAAAUCA